AUUGAACGCUGGCGGCAUGCCUUACACAUGCAAGUCGAACGGUAACGGGUCCUUCGGGAUGCCGACGAGUGGCGAACGGGUGAGUAAUAUAUCGGAACGUGCCCAGUAGUGGGGGAUAACUGCUCGAAAGAGCAGCUAAUACCGCAUACGACCUGAGGGUGAAAGGGGGGGAUCGCAAGACCUUCCGCUAUUGGAGCGGCCGAUAUCAGAUUAGCUAGUUGGUGGGGUAAAGGCCUACCAAGGCAACGAUCUGUAGUUGGUCUGAGAGGACGACCAGCCACACUGGGACUGAGACACGGCCCAGACUCCUACGGGAGGCAGCAGUGGGGAAUUUUGGACAAUGGGCGCAAGCCUGAUCCAGCAAUGCCGCGUGCAGGAAGAAGGCCUUCGGGUUGUAAACUGCUUUUGUCAGGGAAGAAAUCUUCUGGGCUAAUACCCCGGGAGGAUGACGGUACCUGAAGAAUAAGCACCGGCUAACUACGUGCCAGCCGCCGCGGUAA
Molecule: ribosomal RNA, 500 nt
Filed under: uncultured bacterium
Lineage: Bacteria
Description: partial 16S ribosomal RNA
Rfam family: Bacterial small subunit ribosomal RNA
Source: RNAcentral